Erpetoichthys calabaricus (reedfish) is the source of this 469-nucleotide long non-coding RNA. RefSeq lists it as uncharacterized. Lineage: Eukaryota; Metazoa; Chordata; Cladistia; Polypteriformes; Polypteridae. The record is from RefSeq and is a predicted model, not a curated record. The transcript is spliced from 3 exons.
GACGUCACCGUCCGUUUCCGUUUCGGUUUCCUCUCUUUUUGAUCGCCAAUAGGCGCGAAAAGUAAAUCAACAAGACUGGCGAACUCUGGUUCCUUCACUGAAAACGACGUUUUACCUGCGUCCCACAGGAUGGAGACUCAGUGUCCGGAUACUGUGAAGUCUUACUCGGAGAUCACUCAGUUACUUGAACAGCUUACAAAGGAAACCAAUAAGCUUGCAGAAUACCAGAAAUGCCUGGUUCAGCACAAUAUGACCAUAAGUCAUCUUAACAAAUCUUUCAAUAAGGCUCAAUCUAAGCUGGAACGAGUGGCAGCUGUAAAAUGUGGCGGUGAGCUGUUAAACAUGUAGGCUUCUAAGAAGUCACAUUUGUUUUGAAUCAUUCCUAUAAAUAGCAAAGGUUGUGCAGUUGUACAAUGACAUGCUUAAUUCUGUAUCAAUAUUUAUAUUAAAUGUCUUUCAUUCAAGAACA